UCUUCCGUAGUAUAGUGGUCAGUAUGUGAGCUUGUCAUUGGCCAACGCUCGAGACCCGGGUUCAAUUCCCGGCGGGAGAG
Molecule: non-coding RNA, 80 nt
Organism: Podospora pseudopauciseta
Lineage: Eukaryota; Fungi; Ascomycota; Sordariomycetes; Sordariales; Podosporaceae
Source: the annotation of a RefSeq genome assembly